RNAcentral lists this long non-coding RNA (226 nucleotides) under Prunus dulcis (almond). RNAcentral describes it as "sRNA ncRNA". Lineage: Eukaryota; Viridiplantae; Streptophyta; Magnoliopsida; Rosales; Rosaceae. The record is from RNAcentral.
AUGCUGAUAGUACUGUACCGGAAAAAAUUUAUGCCGGUAAAGCACUUACUCCCACACGCAUGGCCAGAGUCCAAUUCUCACUUUCCCCUUCCCCUGGAUCAGAAAAGGAAAAAAAAACACUAAUCCCAUCAUUUUGAAGUCCCUCACCGUAAAAUCCCAUCAUUUUGAAAUCCCCUCACUUCAAAAUUCCAUCAUUUCAAAGUCCCUGAUCCAAACACAAACUUAA